Molecule: ribosomal RNA, 484 nt
Filed under: uncultured bacterium
Lineage: Bacteria
Description: partial 16S ribosomal RNA
Rfam family: Bacterial small subunit ribosomal RNA
Source: RNAcentral
AGUGAACGCUGGCGGCGUGCUUAACACAUGCAAGUCGAACGAGAACGGGUUAUAGCUUGCUAUAAUUGUCAGCUAAGUGGCGCACGGGUGAGUAAUGUAUAGGUAAUAUGCCUCUUACUAAGGGAUAACAAAUGGAAACGUUUGCUAAUACCUUAUACUCCUUAUUAACAGAAGUUAAUAAGGGAAAGAUUUAUUGGUAAGGGAUUAGCCUGUAUUGUAUCAGUUAGUUGGUGGGGUAAUGGCUUACCAAGACUAUGACACAUAACUGGUUUGAGAGGAUGAUCAGUCACGCUGGAACUGAGACACGGUCCAGACUCCUACGGGAGGCAGCAGUGGGGAAUAUUGCACAAUGGACGAAAGUCUGAUGCAGCAACGCCGCGUGGAGGAUGACACAUUUCGGUGCGUAAACUCCUUUUAUAUGAGAAGAUAAUGACGGUAUUAUAUGAAUAAGCACCGGCUAACUCCGUGCCAGCCGCCGCAGUAA